Molecule: long non-coding RNA, 576 nt
Organism: Pogonomyrmex barbatus (red harvester ant)
Lineage: Eukaryota; Metazoa; Arthropoda; Insecta; Hymenoptera; Formicidae
Source: RefSeq, a predicted model, not a curated record
CUCUUAAGGUCAUUGCACGUGGAAAAAUUUUAGUAGUAAUCGUAAGGUCAUAAGCGAAUUGAUCAACUACAAUCAAUUAUUUUUAGGCUGUAAGGAGACUAAUUGAUUCUGAUUGGUCAAUUUGUUUAUAAUCUUACAAUUACAAUUAAAAUUUUUUACGUGCAAUGGCCUUAAGGGCUGCCGCACACAAAUUUCCAUAAUCGUAACAGUAAGACGUAAACUUAAGCCAAUAGGCCAAUCAACAUAUUGCUUUAAGUCUAAAUAAUUUGUAUAUUAAUGUUGGGCUCGUGCAAAUAAUGGGUAGCACAUCUAUAAUGCAUCUAACCAAUGAUAUAUGUAAAGUCAAUAAAGAAACUAGUAGAAACCAGUGGAUUUGACGAAAUAAAGAUUUAUAUAAAGAUAAAUAAGUCAUAUAAAGAUAAAAUGUUAUUUAAAAGUGACGGGUAAAAUAAGUAUAUUAGUCUGUAGGAAGAUAUUUAGGAUUUCAUUGAUUCAAUCUUAUAUUGUAUUCGUAAGUAUUUUGAAAGUAAAAUAGCUAUUAUACAAAAUAAAUUUAUGGAAUAAAUAAAUAUGAGU